This 275-nucleotide ribosomal RNA is filed under the name uncultured prokaryote. Its description in RNAcentral is "partial 16S ribosomal RNA". It matches the Rfam family "Bacterial small subunit ribosomal RNA", at positions 524 to 798 of the family's 1533-position model. The record is from RNAcentral.
UACGGAGGGGCGUAGCGUUGUUCGGAAUUACUGGGCGUAAAGCGCACGUAGGCGGAUCAGCCAGUCAGGGGUGAAAUCCCGGGGCUCAACCCCGGAACUGCCCUUGAUACUGCUGGUCUGGAGUUCGAGAGAGGCGAGUGGAAUUCCGAGUGUAGAGGUGAAAUUCGUAGAUAUUCGGAGGAACACCAGUGGCGAAGGCGGCUCGCUGGCUCGACACUGACGCUGAGGUGCGAAAGCGUGGGGAGCAAACAGGAUUAGAUACCCCGGUAGUCCCU